RNAcentral lists this ribosomal RNA (775 nucleotides) under uncultured Clostridia bacterium. RNAcentral's name for it is "bacterial SSU rRNA". It matches the Rfam family "Bacterial small subunit ribosomal RNA", at positions 97 to 896 of the family's 1533-position model. Lineage: Bacteria; Bacillati; Bacillota; Clostridia. The record is from RNAcentral.
GGCGAACGGGUGAGUAACACGUGAGUAACCUGCCUUACACAAGGGGAUAGCCUCUGGAAACGGAGAAUAAUACCCUAUAAAGUCUAAUCAGCCCAUGCUGGAAAGACCAAAGAUUUAUCGGUGUAAGAUGGACUUGCGUCUGAUUAGCUAGUUGGUGAGAUUAAAAGCUCACCAAGGCGACGAUCAGUAGCCGGCUUGAGAGAGUGUACGGCCACAUUGGGACUGAGACACGGCCCAAACUCCUACGGGAGGCAGCAGUGGGGAAUUUUGCACAAUGGGGGAAACCCUGAUGCAGCGACGCCGCGUGAUUUAGAAGGCCUUCGGGUUGUAAAAAUCUUUUUUACGGGAUGAAAAUGACAGUACCGUAAGAAUAAGGUCCGGCUAAAUACGUGCCAGCAGCCGCGGUAAUACGUAUGGACCGAGCGUUGUCCGGAAUCAUUGGGCGUAAAGGGUACGUAGGCGGCCUAGUAAGUUAGAAGUUAAAGAAUAUAGCUCAACUAUAUAAAGCUUUUAAAACUGCUAGGCUUGAGAGAUGGAAGGGAAAGUGGAAUUCCUAGUGUAGCGGUGAAAUGCGCAGAUAUUAGGAAGAAUACCGGUGGCGAAGGCGACUUUCUGGUCAUCAUCUGACGCUGAGGUACGAAAGCGUGGGUAGCAAACAGGAUUAGAUACCCUGGUAGUCCACGCUGUAAACGAUGAGUGUUAGGUUCUUGGAAUAAUCUGGGAGCCGCAGCUAACGCAUUAAACACUCCGCCUGGGGAGUACGCACGCAAGUGUG